AGCCWWACMMMAUGCAAGUCGAACGGUAACAGGAAKMAGCUUGCUKMUUYGCUGACGAGUGGCGGACSGGUGAGUAAUGUCUGGGAAACUGCCUGAUGGAGGGGGAUAACUACUGGAAACGGUAGCUAAUACCGCAUAACGUCGCAAGACCAAAGAGGGGGACCYUCGGGCCUCUUGCCAUCGGAUGUGCCCAGAUGGGAUUAGCUWGUAGGUGGGGUAACGGCUCACCUAGGCGACGAUCCCUAGCUGGUCUGAGAGGAUGACCAGCCACACUGGAACUGAGACACGGUCCAGACUCCUACGGGAGGCAGCAGUGGGGAAUAUUGCACAAUGGGCGCAAGCCUGAUGCAGCCAUGCCGCGUGUAUGAAGAAGGCCUUCGGGUUGUAAAGUACUUUCAGCGGGGAGGAAGGGAGUAAAGUUAAUACCUUUGCUCAUUGACGUUACCCGCAGAAGAAGCACCGGCUAACUCCGUGCCAGCAGCCGCGGUAAUACGGAGGGUGCAAGCGUUAAUCGGAAUUACUGGGCGUAAAGCGCACGCAGGCGGUUUGUUAAGUCAGAUGUGAAAUCCCCGGGCUCAACCUGGGAACUGCAUCUGAUACUGGCAAGCUUGAGUCUCGUAGAGGGGGGUAGAAUUCCAGGUGUAGCGGUGAAAUGCGUAGAGAUCUGGAGGAAUACCGGUGGCGAAGGCGGCCCCCUGGACGAAGACUGACGCUCAGGUGCGAAAGCGUGGGGAGCAAACAGGAUUAGAUACCUGGWAGUCCACGCCGUAAACGAUGUCGACUUUGGAGGUUGUGCCCUUGAGGCGUGGCUUCCGGAGCUAMCGCGUUAAGUCGACCGCCUGGGGAGUAYCGGCCGCAAGGUUAMACUYCAAUGAMUUGACCGGGGMCCGMAMAARCGGUGGAGCAUGUGGUUUAAUUCGAUGCAACGCGAASAACCUUUACCUGGYUCUUGAMAUCCACAGAAAYUUUCARAGAUGGAWWKGGAUGCCUUCCSGGAAACUGWGAAGACAGGKGCUGGC
RNAcentral lists this ribosomal RNA (1019 nucleotides) under Escherichia coli. RNAcentral describes it as "partial 16S ribosomal RNA". It matches the Rfam family "Bacterial small subunit ribosomal RNA", at positions 45 to 1045 of the family's 1533-position model. Lineage: Bacteria; Pseudomonadati; Pseudomonadota; Gammaproteobacteria; Enterobacterales; Enterobacteriaceae. The record is from RNAcentral.